RNAcentral lists this non-coding RNA (29 nucleotides) under Mus musculus (house mouse). Lineage: Eukaryota; Metazoa; Chordata; Mammalia; Rodentia; Muridae. The record is from RNAcentral.
UGGGAACUGACAUUGCACUUAACUGCUGA